GUAUAGCAUUAUACCGUGAAACUGCGAAUGGCUCAUUAAAUCAGUUAUUGUUUAUUUGAUAGUACCUUACUACUUGGAUAACCGUGGUAAUUCUAGAGCUAAUACAUGCUGAAAACCCCAACUUCGGAAGGGGUGUAUUUAUUAGAUAAAAAACCAAUGCCCUUCGGGGCUUCUUGGUGAUUCAUGAUAACUAAACGGAUCGCAUGGCCUUGCGCCGGCGACGGUUCAUUCAAAUUUCUGCCCUAUCAACUUUCGAUGGUAAGGUAUUGGCUUACCAUGGUUUCAACGGGUAACGGGGAAUUAGGGUUCGAUUCCGGAGAGGGAGCCUGAGAAACGGCUACCACAUCCAAGGAAGGCAGCAGGCGCGCAAAUUACCCAAUCCCGACACGGGGAAGUAGUGACAAUACAUACUGAUACAGGGCUCUUUUGGGUCUUGUAAUUGGAAUGAGUACAAUUUAAACCUCUUAACGAGGAACAAUUGGAGGGCAAGUCUGGUGGACACUCAGCUCCCAUUCUGCUGACGCCAGAGAUAGUCGGGCGGCCCCUAGGGGCUGUUAUGCCGGCUAGUCGCGCACCUAUUGAUUGAUGGGGAGGUGCCGGCAAGACAACCUGGAUCGGGGAAGGCUAAGGCACGCAAGUGCUAUGCUAAUCCCGAGCAGAGCUUGUGCGGAGCGAUCCGCACUACAGCCUGUGUAGAGCACGGWAAGGURUCGGCCCACUCCCUGAGUGGGCUUAAGGUACGUGCCAAUCCCAUCCGAAAGGGUGGCUGUCAGCAAUAGCGCCCAUCACGCGAAGGUUGGCAGGUCCGAGAURUGCGAGUAGCGUGUGCACUUCGGAGUAGUAAUGGCCAGCAGCCGCGGUAAUUCCAGCUCCAAUAGCGUAUAUUAAAGUUGUUGCAGUUAAAAAGCUCGUAGUUGAACCUUGGGCCUGGCUGGCAGGUCCGCCUCACCGCGUGUACUUGUCCGGCCGGGCCUUUCCUUCUGGAGAACCUCAUGCCCUUCACUGGGUGUGCUGGGGAACCAGGACUUUUACUUUGAAAAAAUUAGAGUGUUCAAAGCAGGCCUUUGCUCGAAUACGUUAGCAUGGAAUAAUAGAAUAGGACGUGCGGUCCUAUUUUGUUGGUUUCUAGGACCGCCGUAAUGAUUAAUAGGGACAGUCGGGGGCAUCAGUAUUCAAUUGUCAGAGGUGAAAUUCUUGGAUUUAUUGAAGACUAACUAUUGCGAAAGCAUUUGCCAAGGAUGUUUUCAUUAAUCAGUGAACGAAAGUUAGGGGAUCGAAGACGAUCAGAUACCGUCGUAGUCUUAACCGUAAACUAUGCCGACUAGGGAUCGGGCGAUGUUCUCAUUUUGACUCGCUCGGCACCUUACGAGAAAUCAAAGUUUUUGGGUCUGGGGGAGUA
RNAcentral lists this ribosomal RNA (1399 nucleotides) under Acrocalymma arengae. RNAcentral's name for it is "SSU rRNA". The record is from RNAcentral. Lineage: Eukaryota; Fungi; Ascomycota; Dothideomycetes; Pleosporales; Acrocalymmaceae.